AUUUUUAUAGUGAGUGUAAAGAACUAAUAUGUUUAGAAGAAGCUUAUGAAGAAAUUAAAAACGAUUUAUUAUAUAAGGACAUAAAAAAAAAAUUUAAAAUCGAUGGUAUAUAUGAUGAUCAUGAUUAUAACAAAAAUAAUGGGGACAAAUUAUAUGAACAUAAAAAAAUAAGUAAAGCCAAAUUUUUGGAGUACUUAGGGGUAGAUAAAAGUGAUGUUAGAUAUAAAAGAGAUGGAUCUUAUGUAUCGAAAUUAUAUAUAGAUCCUGAUAAUGAAAAAAAUCAAGUAAAGAUUAUUAUUUUAGAUACUAGAUAUAACAAAGAUCCUUAUCCAUUUUAUGCUCCUGAUUCAUAUGACGAUAGUUAUAUAUCUAUAAUUGUUUCAUUUUUUUCUCGUUUUUAUGCCACAUUAUUUGGUUUAAACUGUAAUAGUGGAAAUGAUAUUUUAGGAAAGAAGCAAUGGGAAUGGUUGCAAAGAGAACUUACUAAUUCAAAUGCUCGGUCGCAUAUUAUUAUUUCAUCUAUACAGGUCUUUUCAAACUUUUUCGUUAACGAAAAUUGGGGAUUAAUGCCACAUGCACUAGCACGAUUAAAAGCAUUAAUAAAAAAAACAAAACCGAAAGGUUUAUUGUUUUUAAGUGGCGAUGUUCAUUAUAGUGGUAUUUUUGGUAAUGAAGAUAAUGUCGUUGAAGUUACAAGUAGUGGCGUGAAUCAGGCAAACAUGUUUAGUCCUAUAAAUAAAUAUUUGAUAUAUAUAUUUACAGCUCUGUUUAAUAAAAGAACAGCAGUUGAUUACAACAAAAUAUAUGCAUUUAAUAAUUUUGGAUCAGUUAAUAUAAAUUAUGUUGAUGAUGAUAACAUAGAAAUAAAAACGACUGUGCAUAAUUCGAAUGGCGAAAAAAUGUUAGUGGUUAACCAAGUUUUUAAUGAUAAGAAGGAUGUAUAUUCAGAUACAGAGAAAUUACAUGUAAUAAAUGAUGAAUUUGGUACAUUAAUGUGUAAAAGUCCUUUACUGAUAACUGUACAUUUUAUUAUUCAUUUAUUAAUUCUUUUACUGUUUUUUGAAUUAUUGUAUAUCACCUUUAAACUAUUUUGUUUUAAGGGUUAUAAAUAUGGAAAAAGUAGUAAAC
RNAcentral lists this long non-coding RNA (1128 nucleotides) under Piliocolobus tephrosceles (Ugandan red Colobus). RNAcentral's name for it is "lncRNA (ENSPTEG00000007352.1)". Lineage: Eukaryota; Metazoa; Chordata; Mammalia; Primates; Cercopithecidae. The record is from RNAcentral.